AUAGAGGGUGAAAAUCCCGUGCCUGGGUGGCUGUCCAGUUUCAUGUGAAGUGUCUCCGACGAGUCGAGUUGUUUGGGAAUGCAGCUCAAAAUGGGUGGUAAAUUUCAUCUAAAGCUAAAUAUUGGCGAGAGACCGAUAGCGCACAAGUAGAGUGAUCGAAAGAUGAAAAGCACUUUGAAAAGAGAGUUAAACAGUACGUGAAAUUGUUGAAAGGGAAGCGCUUGAGACUAGAUUCGGCCGGCGGUCAUCAGCUACGUUUCUACGUGGUGCACUUGCCGUCGGUUGAGCCAGCAUCGAUUUUGAUGGCGGGAUAAAGGUUUCAGGAAUGUGGCUCCUCAAUUUCGAGGAGUGUUAUAGCCUGGAGCGCAAUGCCGCCUGUCGGGAUCGAGGACCGCGCUUUUGCUAGGAUGCUGGCUAAAAGGUCUUAAGCGGCCCGUCUUGAAACAC
This 447-nucleotide ribosomal RNA is filed under the name Otidea subpurpurea. Its description in RNAcentral is "eukaryotic LSU rRNA". It matches the Rfam family "Eukaryotic large subunit ribosomal RNA", at positions 205 to 662 of the family's 3401-position model. The record is from RNAcentral. Lineage: Eukaryota; Fungi; Ascomycota; Pezizomycetes; Pezizales; Pyronemataceae.